Molecule: non-coding RNA, 203 nt
Organism: Caenorhabditis elegans
Lineage: Eukaryota; Metazoa; Nematoda; Chromadorea; Rhabditida; Rhabditidae
Source: Ensembl
CCCCUCACAGUUAUAAUAAUAAUAAUAAUAAUAAUAACUCAUUUAAAUCAAAGGGAUCAUCUAGAUAGAGUGUGUUUGAUCAAGAAAUGAAUGGCUAGCAGAAAAAUGAAAUGGAUAGUCAAACAAUAUCCGGGCAGAGACACUCUAUUUCACUUUCGAUCAAUUCAUAGGUUUCUUUUUUGGUGUUAAGCUCUCGAUGCAGU